Non-coding RNA from Ceratotherium simum simum (southern white rhinoceros), 117 nucleotides. The record is from RefSeq and is a predicted model, not a curated record. NCBI's taxonomy places the organism in Eukaryota, Metazoa, Chordata, Mammalia, Perissodactyla, Rhinocerotidae.
AAUCCCUUAUCAUAUAUAUAGUUUGCAAACAUUUUCUCCCAUGCUGUAGGUUGCCUUUAAUUAUGUUGAUUAUUUCUUUUGCUGUACAGAAGCUUUUUCUAAUUUAAUGUAUACCUG